GAUCGAAUUGAGUGCCCACAAGGC
RNAcentral lists this non-coding RNA (24 nucleotides) under Gossypium hirsutum (cotton). Lineage: Eukaryota; Viridiplantae; Streptophyta; Magnoliopsida; Malvales; Malvaceae. The record is from RNAcentral.